CCUAGAAUAAAAAAAAAAUUGCAAUUACAAAUCAUAACACUGUUGGCACAAAGGAAAAGCUUGUAUCUGCUUGGAGCCAGCAAUUCUAACUCAACUUUAAGUUACAAAGGAUCUUUUACGGCUAUAGUCGCUAUCAGGAAGCCGUCGGAAGGGCUAAGCGCCUUCGCUGAGGGGGUUACGUCCAACAGCAGCCGGUCCUGCGGCGCAGGGGCCGGGGCGAGAGCACCCAGGGCCGCGGGGAGGAGCAGAGCCCCCGCCCGUGGGGCAGCGGGAAAAGCUCCCGCCCCCCGAGGCGAGGCGAGGCCCGGGCCGGCGGGGCCCCCUGCCGUUACGCCACCGCCCCACGGCACGAGCCCCCAGCCCGGCCCCCACGCGCCAACACCGCGGCGCGUCACGCCGCGGAAGGCGAGGAAACGCGGGGCCCACGCAGCUCCCCUCCCCCCGCCCACCCUCGGCGGAAGCAGCCCCCCCGGCGCAUGCGCCGCUGAGACGACCGCGACCAUCCCUUUCCGGCCGGCACGCGACCUUUCCUGCCCGCGCGUGCCGCUGCCGCUUGCCCCCCCCCUCCCCCGGCGGGGCGCGUGCCCCCGCCCUCCCCGCUCCGGCCUGCUUGCGCCUGCAGCGCGGCGCGCGCACCCUCCCCGCACGGCCUGCUCGAGACGCCGCCCGCCCCCCAGCCGUUAUCCGUUCAGUGCGCACGCGCCCUUUGACCCGGCUGGCUCCCUGCUGCCCCAGCCCCGCCUUGCACAUGUGCUCUCACGUAGGCGCAUGCGCCUUUGCGCGGAGCCCCAACCGUCGCCGGUGACGUCUCAAGGCGCAUGCGUUCUAGCGUGCGGCUGUUUCCCCGGCCCYUCCGGCGCAUGCGCCAUUCCUCACGUUCCCCCCGGCCGGGAGCCGGCGCCGCGCGUCUCUCCGCCUUCCCCUGUGGCGGCGCCUGCGCGCUGCGCGCUGUCGGUGCGUGGCGUGCAGUGCGGUGGGGGCGGGUGGGGGCGGGGCGGGUAUAUAUAG
Molecule: long non-coding RNA, 1008 nt
Filed under: Apteryx haastii (Great spotted kiwi)
Lineage: Eukaryota; Metazoa; Chordata; Aves; Apterygiformes; Apterygidae
Description: lncRNA (ENSAHAG00000006334.1)
Source: RNAcentral